This is a long non-coding RNA of Homo sapiens (human), 312 nucleotides long. RefSeq lists it as uncharacterized. The record is from RefSeq and is a predicted model, not a curated record. NCBI's taxonomy places the organism in Eukaryota, Metazoa, Chordata, Mammalia, Primates, Hominidae. The transcript has 2 exons.
GCCCAGCGUACCCCAGGCAACAGCUCUGGUUUAUAAUUCCAUGGGACUCUUGCUUGCCCCUGGUGAAAGUAUAGUCCUUUGGAGACCAAGAUAACGAACCCUGCAGAGUCUACAACUGUGGAGACAAGAUGCACAAAGCCCCCAGUUGGUCAAUGGUGGUGAUGCCAUGUAAUGCACGUGCUUUCCGUUUGCUUUCUGCCAUGAUUGUAAGUUUCCUGAGGCCUCCCCAGAACCGGAGCAGAUGCCAGCAUCAUGCUUUCUGUACAGCCUGUGGAACCACGAACCAAUUAAACCUCUUUUCUUUAUAAAUUA